AGCUCCUGAGAACUUGUCUGACCCCUCAGUCCAACUCUGCCUCCACCACCUGCAGGGAUAGUGAGCACUGGUCAGAACCCACUCUGACCCACCUGAAUCCUUCUAUGGAUAAGCCUGCCCAGAAACACAUCAGGAUAUGUCAGUGGAGAUGUCACUCCAUCUCCUCUGCUGCCCAUUGCCACAGCAGAGGGACUGAAGACAACAAAGAAAGGACAGCAAUUCCCAGCCAUGGAAGUGAUGGGAUGAGGGCAGUAAAAACCCUGGAAACUUGGCAUGAGAACCUCUGAGAUGCACAGCCAGCUCCAAAGCAGCAGUGGGACACUUCAGACACAGAAGCAGUUGGAGCUCUCUGACUGUAGCCUGCACAUCAGCAGCCCUUUCAGCUUCCCCCCCUGCUUCCUGAUCCUGAAGAGAUUAAUAUAUAUUUAAUCAGAUUGAACAGAAA
Long non-coding RNA from Corapipo altera (White-ruffed manakin), 445 nucleotides. RefSeq lists it as uncharacterized. NCBI's taxonomy places the organism in Eukaryota, Metazoa, Chordata, Aves, Passeriformes, Pipridae. The record is from RefSeq and is a predicted model, not a curated record. The transcript has 2 exons.